This is a non-coding RNA of Leclercia adecarboxylata, 116 nucleotides long. Lineage: Bacteria; Pseudomonadati; Pseudomonadota; Gammaproteobacteria; Enterobacterales; Enterobacteriaceae. The record is from Rfam.
UCUGGCGGCUGUAGCGCGGUGGUCCCACCUGACCCCAUGCCGAACUCAGAAGUGAAACGCCGUAGCGCCGAUGGUAGUGUGGGGUCUCCCCAUGCGAGAGUAGGGAACUGCCAGAC